Molecule: ribosomal RNA, 253 nt
Filed under: uncultured bacterium
Lineage: Bacteria
Description: partial 16S ribosomal RNA
Rfam family: Bacterial small subunit ribosomal RNA
Source: RNAcentral
UACAGAGGUCUCAAGCGUUGUUCGGAUUCAUUGGGCGUAAAGGGUGCGUAGGCGGCGCGGUAAGUCGGGUGUGAAAGCCCUGGGCUCAACUCAGGAAUGGCAUUGGAAACUGGCGGGCUGGAGUACUGGAGAGGGAAGCGGAAUUCCUGGUGUAGCGGUGAAAUGCGUAGAUACCAGGAGGAACACCGGUGGCGAAGGCGGCUUCCUGGCCAAGUACUGACGCUGAGGCACGAAAGCGUGGGGAGCGAACGGG